Molecule: non-coding RNA, 137 nt
Organism: Brachypodium distachyon (stiff brome)
Lineage: Eukaryota; Viridiplantae; Streptophyta; Magnoliopsida; Poales; Poaceae
Source: Rfam
UUACUACUCCCUCCGUCCAAACAAAGGAUGUUUCCACUUUGACUAAAUUUGAAUGCAUCUAUACACUAAGUCAUGUCUAGAUACACUCAAAUUUUGACAAACUUGAAACAUCUUUUGGUGGAUGGAGGGAGUAUUUG